Molecule: non-coding RNA, 78 nt
Organism: Podarcis lilfordi (Lilford's wall lizard)
Lineage: Eukaryota; Metazoa; Chordata; Lepidosauria; Squamata; Lacertidae
Source: the annotation of a GenBank genome assembly
GCUUAACUAGGGUAGCUCAGUCGGUAGAGCGCGAGCCUCUUAAUCUCUGGGUCGUGGGUUCGAGUCUCACGGUGGGCA